GCGAGGCCAGGGGGGCAACUCCCUGAGUCGAGCGGCGGACGGGUGAGUAACACGUGGGUAACCUACCCGGAAGUGGGGAAUACCUCGGGGAAACUCGAGCUAAUACCGCAUGACAUCUUUGGGACGAAAGUCCUGACGAUCAAAGCGGGGUCGCAAGAUCUCGCGCUACCGGAUGGGCCCGCGCCCGAUUAGCUAGUUGGUGAGGUAACGGCUCACCAAGGCGACGAUCGGUAACCGGCCUGAGAGGGCGAUCGGUCACACCGGAACUGAGACACGGUCCGGACUCCUACGGGAGGCAGCAGUGGGGAAUCUUGCGCAAUGGGCGAAAGCCUGUCGCAGCAACGCCGCGUGGAGGAUGAAGGCCCUUGGGUUGUAAACUCCUGUCGGCUGGGAAGAAGUCGUUCGCGGUUAAUACCUGCGGACGUUGACUGUACCAGCAAAGGAAGCCCCGGCUAACUCUGUGCCAGCAGCCGCGGUAAUACAGAGGGGGCUAGCGUUAUUCGGAAUUAUUGGGCGUAAAGGGCGCGUAGGCGGCCAUGCGUGUCUUCCGUGAAAUCCCUCGGCUUAACCGAGGACGUGCGGAAGAAACUGCAAGGCUCGAGUCCGGAAGAGGGGGGCGGAAUUCCCAGUGUAGCGGUGAAAUGCGUAGAUAUUGGGAGGAACACCAGUGGCGAAGGCGGUCCCCUGGGCCGGAACUGACGCUGAGGCGCGAAAGCG
Molecule: ribosomal RNA, 717 nt
Filed under: uncultured soil bacterium
Lineage: Bacteria
Description: bacterial SSU rRNA
Rfam family: Bacterial small subunit ribosomal RNA
Source: RNAcentral